GCCCUGGUAUUCCAAUUGGCAGAGAAUGCGGAUUCAAAACCCGUACAGUGUGGGUUCGAGUCCCACCCAGGGCA
RNAcentral lists this transfer RNA (74 nucleotides) under Kribbella shirazensis. RNAcentral describes it as "tRNA-Leu". It matches the Rfam family "tRNA". From Rfam's summary of the family: Transfer RNA (tRNA) molecules are approximately 80 nucleotides in length. Their secondary structure includes four short double-helical elements and three loops (D, anti-codon, and T loops). Lineage: Bacteria; Bacillati; Actinomycetota; Actinomycetes; Propionibacteriales; Kribbellaceae. The record is from RNAcentral. RNAcentral also lists the same sequence under 6 other names.